This 468-nucleotide ribosomal RNA is filed under the name uncultured bacterium. Its description in RNAcentral is "partial 16S ribosomal RNA". It matches the Rfam family "Bacterial small subunit ribosomal RNA", at positions 28 to 507 of the family's 1533-position model. The record is from RNAcentral.
GACGAACGCUGGCGGCGUGCUUAACACAUGCAAGUCGAACGGAAAGGCCCUGCUCUUGUUGGGUUCUCGAGUGGCGAACGGGUGAGUAACACGUGAGUAACCUGCCCUUGACUGUGUGAUAACUUCAGGAAACUGGGGCUAAUACCGGAUAGGAUCUCCUGCUGCAUGGUGUGGGUUGGAAAGUUUCGGCGGUUGGGGAUCGACUCGCGGCUUAUCAGCUUGUUGGUGGGGUAGUUGUUGACCAAGGCUUUGAAGGGUAGCCGGCCUGAGAGGGUGAACGGCGACCUUGGGACUACGAGACGGACCAGUAUCCAAUGGGAGGCAGCAGUGGGGAAUAUUGCACAAUGGGCGGACGCCUGAUGCAGAAACGCCGCGUGCGGGAUGACGGCCUUCGGGUUGUAAACCGCUUUCGACUGUGACGAAGCGUGCGUGACGGUAAUGGGUAAAGAAGCACCGGCUAACUACGUG